This 805-nucleotide ribosomal RNA is filed under the name uncultured bacterium. RNAcentral's name for it is "bacterial SSU rRNA". It matches the Rfam family "Bacterial small subunit ribosomal RNA", at positions 8 to 810 of the family's 1533-position model. The record is from RNAcentral.
AGAGUUUGAUCCUGGCUCAGGAUGAACGCUGGCGGCGUGCUUAACACAUGCAAGUCGAACGAAGCAUUUAGGAUUGAAGUUUUCGGAUGGAUUUCCUAUAUGACUGAGUGGCGGACGGGUGAGUAACGCGUGGGGAACCUGCCCUAUACAGGGGGAUAACAGCUGGAAACGGCUGCUAAUACCGCAUAAGCGCACAGAAUCGCAUGAUUCAGUGUGAAAAGCCCUGGCAGUAUAGGAUGGUCCCGCGUCUGAUUAGCUGGUUGGUGAGGUAACGGCUCACCAAGGCGACGAUCAGUAGCCGGCUUGAGAGAGUGAACGGCCACAUUGGGACUGAGACACGGCCCAAACUCCUACGGGAGGCAGCAGUGGGGAAUAUUGCACAAUGGGGGAAACCCUGAUGCAGCGACGCCGCGUGAGUGAAGAAGUAUUUCGGUAUGUAAAGCUCUAUCAGCAGGGAAGAAAACAGACGGUACCUGACUAAGAAGCCCCGGCUAACUACGUGCCAGCAGCCGCGGUAAUACGUAGGGGACAAGCGUUAUCCGGAAUUACUGGGUGUAAAGGGUGCGUAGGUGGCAUGGUAAGUCAGAAGUGAAAGCCCGGGGCUUAACCCCGGGACUGCUUUUGAAACUGUCAUGCUGGAGUGCAGGAGAGGUAAGCGGAAUUCCUAGUGUAGCGGUGAAAUGCGUAGAUAUUAGGAGGAACACCAGUGGCGAAGGCGGCUUACUGGACUGUCACUGACACUGAUGCAUGAAAGCGUGGGGAGCAAACAGGAUUAGAUACCCUGGUAGUCCACGCCGUAAACGAU